CCUACGGGUGGCAGCAGUGGGGGAUAUUGCACAAUGGGGGAAACCCUGAUGCAGCGACGCCGCGUGGGUGAAGACGUAUUUCGGUAUGUAAAGCCCUAUCAGCAGGGAAGAAAGAAGACGGUACCUGACUAAGUAGCCCCGGCUAACUACGUGCCAGCAGCCGCGGUAAUACGUAGGGGGCGAGCGUUAUCCGGAUUCACUGGGUGUAAGGGGAGCGUAGACGGCCGUGCAAGCCAGGAGUGAAAGCCCGGGGCCCAACCCCGGGACUGCGCUUGGACCUGGCCGGCGUGAGUGCGCGGGGGGCAGGCGGAAUUCCUGGUGUAGCGGUGAAAUGCGUAGAUAUCAGGAGGAACACCGGCGGCGAAGGCGGCCUGCUGGAGCGCGACUGACGUUGAGGCUCGAAAGCGUGGGGAGCAAACAGGAUUAGAUACCCCUGUAGUC
Molecule: ribosomal RNA, 441 nt
Filed under: uncultured bacterium
Lineage: Bacteria
Description: partial 16S ribosomal RNA
Rfam family: Bacterial small subunit ribosomal RNA
Source: RNAcentral